RNAcentral lists this long non-coding RNA (2133 nucleotides) under Homo sapiens (human). RNAcentral's name for it is "HSALNT0338274". The record is from RNAcentral. Lineage: Eukaryota; Metazoa; Chordata; Mammalia; Primates; Hominidae.
AAAUCAAUUCAACAACAACUGCCCCGGUGCUUCCCCGUAGAUAGCACCGCUGUUGUUUCAGGAACACAGUCAUCCCUCAGAAAUGGAUUGGGUGACAAGUGGUCUGCAUGCUGCACACGGGCACUGGGUCUCUGAAUGUAACCAAAUUGUUCUCCUCUUAUCAUUCCCAUUCACUGGUGUACUUGUUUGUGGAGCCUGCAGAACUGCCUUUUUCAAGAAUGGCAGCUUGGCCUCUAAAUCUGCUUCCCACUGAUGGGAAGAGCUGACAGAAGCUUUAGAGAGGCACAGGGUGAGUUCCUAAAACCAGAGUCAACACACACUCUUCAUCUGUUUUGUGCUUCACUCCCUGCUCAUCUUCCUAAAACACUGAGUUUGGUCAUAUCAUGUCCUACAAGUUGUCAAUGAUUUCCCAUGAUCUUGUCUUCAGGAUAAAGUUCCUUAGUCAAAAGCAAUGAAGACCUGACCUAAUCUGUAAGGCAAAAUCAACACUUUUUAGCCUGGCCUUCCAUGCCCUUCCAUGCCCUUCGAGCCCCCAGAGCACCCAUGGCAGUCCAUCUCUCUCUACUUGUCCAGAGGGACACUCUCUUAGAGCCAGUGGCUCCUACUCACGGUUCCCCGAACACGUCGUGGGAAUGUUUGCCUUCAUACCUUCCCAGAUCAUUUUCCUGAUCUCAGACACCCUCCGUCCUCAUUCAUUCACUCUUCAAUUGUCCAACAAAUAUUUGUUGCUCAUGCAACCUGGAUCACCCACAUAGUUUCAAGACUGCAUCUUCUAAACUAUUUAAAUCCUAUCCAUUCUUCAAGAAAUGUUUCAUGACGCUUCCUUAACUGCUAAGGACCCGCAGAUUCUCUUCCUCUUGGGACUCACACACUGACUCAUCUCCCGAUCUUUUGGUGCUCAGCAAAGUGGAGGCUUCUGUUUUGGACUUAGAGUCAAGACCAUUAAAUAAGACUAUGCUCUAAAAAGUACACCUCCGUGGCCCGGAACGAGUGAAUUAACAUCUAUGAGUUUCCAUUUCCUUGUCUAUAAAAUUGUGAAAUUGCAACUUAAGAUUAGUUCUGAAGAUUAAAUGAGGUAACAUAGGUGAAAAUGCUACAUUUAUGUAAGAAAUUACUCUUUCAUAAGGAUGUCAAUGUUUAAAUACGCAUUUUCUCAAUUUUGUUAAUGAAAUACUUUGAAAUUCUUUUUUCUAAUGAAACCUGCUGAAUGUAAAAGAGACCCGUACUAAAGAAAGAUACCACAUGAAGCACCAAGGGUCUCUUUCUGGAUCUAUCAUGACUCUUGUGACUGUUUCAGCAGCACAGAAAUUAAAGGCGAUUGUUAUUCUGGAGGAAGACAAUGAGUCUCAUCUAUAUCUUGUUUGGGUUGAUUUUGUAAACAGAACAUUCCAAAGAUCAUUCUUGCCUUUUGUUUCCACUGAGAACUAGAAUAAAGUAAAACAAACUAUCAAUUUAAGGAAAGCCUCGAAAUUGUUAGCAAUUUCUUCAGUAACUUUCAUCCAUCAACUGAUUUUAUGAACACAAAUUUGCAGAAAUGGGCAAGAAAAACUACUUAACUCAUUGGUGGGAAGCAGUGGGCUCUCUAAGGAGGGAGAGAUAGCAGUGAUUUCACCACCGGACCGUGGAACACAAAGAGCCUGGAAGAGUCUAUCACUUUCAACUGAAACCGCAAGAAGAACUAAGUAGGUUAAGCCCUAAGAAUGUUCCUAGGUAACCUACUUGAGUUGAAAUUUGACUAAGAAUCCUUACACCCUACCUAAGAGAGGUAACGCUAUUAGGAUCGGAAGUGAUUGGAAGCUUUGUUUCAGAUCUCGUCCAAAAGGGAGAACGGUCAAUGACAAAGCUGCUGUGAAUAGUAUUCUGGGGGCGUGGUGGAACCCCGAUUCACUGCUAUCUCCCGAAUCAGCAACUUGACAGAGCGCGCCUCCCGGGCCUUGGAAGCCUUCCAUUCCGAGCUGGCUGGGUGGGACUCAGGUUUUACGGUAUGCUGGACUUUUUCCCCGUGAGUUAAAACACAUUUAUAGUAACUAAGUGGUUAAUGAUGAGAAAAAACCCCAAACUACUGUACUAAUAAUCAACCUCUGCUAUUUGGUUUGUAAAAAACAAAAAUACAUCUAUAAAAAGGGUUGGCCG